RNAcentral lists this unclassified non-coding RNA (19 nucleotides) under Chlamydomonas reinhardtii. RNAcentral's name for it is "small RNA Cre_3029". Lineage: Eukaryota; Viridiplantae; Chlorophyta; Chlorophyceae; Chlamydomonadales; Chlamydomonadaceae. The record is from RNAcentral.
UGCAGGUUGGCCGACCGUG